Molecule: non-coding RNA, 293 nt
Organism: Homo sapiens (human)
Lineage: Eukaryota; Metazoa; Chordata; Mammalia; Primates; Hominidae
Rfam family: Metazoan signal recognition particle RNA
About the family: The signal recognition particle (SRP) is a universally conserved ribonucleoprotein. It is involved in the co-translational targeting of proteins to membranes.
Source: Rfam
GCCGGGUGUGGUGGCACACACCUAUAAUCCCAGCUACUCGGGAGGCUGAGACAGGAGAAUUGCUUGAACCUGGGAGGCGGAGGUUGCAGUGAGCCGAGAUCGCACCACUGCCCUCCAGCCUGGGUGACAGAGAAGAGACUCCGUCUCAAAAAAAAGAAAAAAAAAUAGAUAAAAUUAAGUUGGGUUUUCUUUUUUGAGAUGGAGUCUCACUCUGUCGCCCAGGCUGGAAUGCAGUGGUGUGUUCUUGGCUCACUGCAACCUCCACCUCCCGGGUUCGAGCAAUUCUGUGUCAG